GGGAAAGUUUUUGUUUUCACUGAAAUGCUGAGAAAAUUUUUAUUUACACGCAUAAUAAAGCAAAAUCAUAUUCAAUUAUAACACUUAAAGACCAUGGAAAGUUUGGAUAUUAAUUUUAAUACAAACGAAAUGGGCCUUUUUUUUUAAUUCCGAGCAAAGAACAGAAGAUAUUGGUUAUAUAAAAUUAUGUGAUAUUUGUUAAUACUUUUAUACUAAUAAAGCUCUGAAAAUUUCACAUUGGCUUUCAUUGUAUAAUAAUGACCGAAUUUGUAUU
Non-coding RNA from Cinara cedri, 274 nucleotides. Lineage: Eukaryota; Metazoa; Arthropoda; Insecta; Hemiptera; Aphididae. The record is from the annotation of a GenBank genome assembly.